This 535-nucleotide long non-coding RNA is filed under the name Pan troglodytes (chimpanzee). Its description in RNAcentral is "lincRNA". Lineage: Eukaryota; Metazoa; Chordata; Mammalia; Primates; Hominidae. The record is from RNAcentral.
GGGAGAGUCUCUGCGUCCUCCAGCCCCCGCUUCCCUUCAUGUCGGAGAUCCCAAGCCCGCAGCGAAGUCCGCAAAGAGCUUUCCCCGACGCCUACGAGACCGGAAGUGCCUGGGCCCAGGUGGAGGAAGGACCCGCGCGGCCUCCUCCGCGCUCUCCCUGGGGUCCGUGCUCCUUCCGGCGUUUCUCCCGCGUCCUUCACCAUGGCAACUCGGGCGUUGGGAGCGCGGGCUGCGAGCCGAGUGGGUGGGGAGCCGCUGGGCUCUAUCCGCCAGCCCACGAGAAGUGACGAAGGAGCACCAUUGAAAGAGAAUUAGACAAACUGGAGUCUACUCAGAAGAGGCUGUUGGGAAUGGCCCUGGCACCACAUCCUGAGCAGGCAUGGCCGAUGGAAUGGGGAGAAGACUCAGGUGAGGCUUGAGUGUGUCCUCUGAUGACUGAAGAGCCUUGGGAGCAAGCAUCCUUCCUGCUACUGUGUGUUUGCUGGUUCCAAUGAUACAUAAUUUGUGCUUUUCGUAAUUAAAGUAUUAUCCUGUA